Molecule: long non-coding RNA, 524 nt
Filed under: Mytilus galloprovincialis (Mediterranean mussel)
Lineage: Eukaryota; Metazoa; Mollusca; Bivalvia; Mytilida; Mytilidae
Source: RNAcentral
AAAAGAUGUGGUAUGAUUGCCAAUGAGAUAAUUCUCCACAAGAGACCAAAAUGACACAGAAAUUAACAACUACAGGUCACCGUAAGGCCAUCAACAAUGAGCAAAGCCAAUUCCGCAUAAUCAUCUAUAAAAGGCCCUGAAAUGACAAUGUAAAACAAUUUAAACGGGAAGACUAACAGCCUUAUUUAUGUACAAAAAAUAAAUGAAAACGAAUAUGUAACACAUAAACAAACGACAACCACUGAAUUACAGGCUCCUUAUAUCAUGUUCUCAAAUCUAGAUAUCAUCUCCCAUUUAGAAAAAAAACACAUGAAAAAAUGAACCUAGAAAAAUGUAUUAUGUGUUGCUCUCCUAGCUACAAAAUGUAUCCAAAAUCAAAGAUGUGGAACAUAUUCUAUCAUAAUCAUUUGGUAACUAAUGCAAUUAAUGUCUCUUCCAUGCCCGUCUUGAACAUAAAAACUAAAUAAUAAAUAAACAACACUCCUAAUGCUCAGAUUGUUUGUCAUCGUGCAACACAACUAAUA